Molecule: long non-coding RNA, 767 nt
Organism: Crotalus tigris (Tiger rattlesnake)
Lineage: Eukaryota; Metazoa; Chordata; Lepidosauria; Squamata; Viperidae
Exons: 5
Source: RefSeq, a predicted model, not a curated record
CUUCUAAUUUGCUCUCCUUUUGAACUUCUCUAUAAUCACCUCUAGUUUAGCUUGACAGUAAAGGCACACCUCAUUUCAUUGUGUUUUGCUUUAUUGCACUUCGCAAAUAUUGUGGUGUUGUUGUUUUUUUACAAGAGUUUCCACCAGCAAAAAGAUUACAACUUCCUGAAGGCUCAGGUGGCGAUUAGCGGGGGUGUUUUUUAGCAAUAAAAUAUUUUUAAUUAAGUGGAACUGGAACUGAACCGGCAAUAUCUCCGAAAUAUGCCUGUAUUUUAAUACGAAUUUUUCAGACGGUAAAACUCAGUGAAAUUAAAGCAACUUCAUCUUUUAACCCGGCUCCUGUCAAUGUUUUUGGAACGUGGUCUCCGAAAUCCACAGAGGCUGAGACCUUGGCUUGGAAGAACAUUGAACUCAGAUCUUUUCAUUUUCAUGGCUUCUGAUGCUCAGUCAAGCGGAGGAAGAAAAGACUGCCUUGUGGCAGGAAAUGUUGACAGCUUGGCAUUUUGGAGACCUUGACCAUCGGGGAAACAAGACAAGCUGACAAGUCUGGUCUUCUCCAGAUUCUUCUCCAGUUUGACCAUCACAGGCUGCUACAAAUGAUUUUCUUUCAUACUUCAGCCAUCCAAAGAGCACCCAGAAACUCAGCAACUUCCCUGAAGCCUUCAGAGGCCCUCUAAGACGUGAAAAUUAAGGGGUGAAUUUCUGGAGUUUUGUUCUGUUGCAGUGCAUCCAUUUCCAGGGUCCAAGAAAAAAAAAACAUUCAAGAG